AUGGAGAUAAUUCUUCAGUGUCAUUUUCCAAAGCUGACUAUGUGUCUACAUUCACACAAACACACCUCACUGCCCCUUGUCUCAGUAUCUCUCAGUUGUACCAGCACUCUUUACCUUAAAAGAUGCAUGAAGAAAGAGCAGCUGUGGAAGCCAAGGAACAAGGAAUGCAUUAACAAGCUCAGAAGUGAACUGUUUGAGAGUACUAACUGGACACCAAGAGUGAGGGAAAUGGAUCUACAGCAUCCCCACCCUUUUCUGGUCAUUACAUCCUGCUCCCUGGUGAAAUGUCCUUCCAGAACAGCUCCAGAAAGAAUGUUUAUCUUGUAAGAAUCAACACAAUGCAUUUCAGUGUCAUUUUUGCUUUGACUGGAUCUUCACAAAAUUAAUUUCAACUGCAAUCUUUUCUUGACUAAGGAGACCUGAUAUUGAGGGUAUAUUUAAAAGGGGAAACUUUCUUUCCAGUUUCAUUAUUAGGUUGUUCCAUAGGUUUCCAACUAAUUCAAACCAAAGUAAUUUCCUUAUAAAACAGAAUAUAUUUUAAAAUAUAUUAUUCAUGAUAUUUUUACCAUUGCUUCACAAAGAUAUCAAAUGUAAUCAUCCCACAACCUAUCUUGAAUGCCUAUCAACUGCUGAUAACUAAAAUAUUUAUAUCACUUUACAAUCGUGAUACCAAAUACCUCAUGAAACAGGGAACUACAUCUCUAUCUACCACAUUGAUAAAGAGCUUUAAAGAGAAAAAAUGAACAGGAAGUAUCCCUUAGAGUUCCUGGGGGAUGGGGUUUCAAAAGCCCAGCUUUACACAAGCAAUUGAAUAACCUGUUCUGAUGCCCAAAGAAAGCCCUGUGUAGGUGUCAGCAUGGAGAGCCUGGCACAGGUCCACAAGCAGCUGUGGGUCUUUGUGCUGGGCUCCCUUCCACAGCUGGGUAGGGAAGUUUCUCCAAUAAAAAAGGGGAAAACUAGGAAUACA
Molecule: long non-coding RNA, 967 nt
Filed under: Cyanistes caeruleus (blue tit)
Lineage: Eukaryota; Metazoa; Chordata; Aves; Passeriformes; Paridae
Description: lncRNA (ENSCCEG00000014446.1)
Source: RNAcentral